Long non-coding RNA from Telopea speciosissima, 220 nucleotides. RefSeq lists it as uncharacterized. Lineage: Eukaryota; Viridiplantae; Streptophyta; Magnoliopsida; Proteales; Proteaceae. The transcript has 3 exons. The record is from RefSeq and is a predicted model, not a curated record.
AGCGGUUACUUGCACUGGACUUAUCUGGUCACGCUACAGCUUAGUAAUUACGCCGAAAAAUUGGAAUCUUUUUAGUGUAAACGUUGCAAUGGCUGCUACAGGCAUUUACCAACUUGCACGCAAAGUUCAGCACGAUUACUUCUCUGAGAGAGAGGUGGAUGUUGCAGAAGAAUAAUGACAAAAAUAUCUGAAUUGCAUCUUACAUCUUAGAUGUAGGCUC